CAAGCGGUUUGUUUACAAACCGCAUACGAUAAACGAUGUUUGCCGUUUACGGCAAACUCGAAGAUAAACAGUGAGGCUGAAUUCCUGCCGAGCUGUUUAUCGUAC
Molecule: non-coding RNA, 105 nt
Organism: Treponema denticola ATCC 35405
Lineage: Bacteria; Pseudomonadati; Spirochaetota; Spirochaetia; Treponematales; Treponemataceae
Source: Rfam